AACGAUAAAAGAGCGUUGUGUAGCUUCAAUGACAACUGUUCUUUCCUUGGCUUCUGAUACUUCAACACGGCCCCCAAAGUAUCUUAAGCCUGCAAUCAAGAGAACCAAAUAAGCAAUGGCAAACCACAUGACAUAUCCCUUUUCGGUUACAUGUUUUAAUGAGGAUAAAGGAAAGUCAGGCAGGAAUCAGUAAAAGUUCAACUAAAAUGGUACACCAAAAGAUGCAAGACUAUAUUGUUAGCUUUUCAGUAUACAAUUGCAAAUAAAUAUGACCACAGUUACACUUUUAAGGUAGUAAUGGCAGAAAAAUUAGCACUCAAAAGCGUCACAUCCUCCCAAGAGUCAUGGGAUUCCAGUUAAUGGAUAAUGGAUAUUCAGAGGAGGCAUAAUCAAUCAUUUCAGUUACCCUUCAUAGAAUAAAUGGCUAUCAAAGAUAAGAAACCAGCCAUGACUUCAGUAGGCACAUAUAAACCAUUUCAGUUACAGAAUCAGCCUAAUGGCAACAAUAAAGGGCAAUCAUGGAGCAUAAACCUUCCAGGUUACUGGAUUAAAACGGGCAACCUAAGGGUCUGCCUUCAAAUGAUUAUAAAAGGAGACACUACCAUAAAAAAGGGACGACGUUCAGUAAAAAAGGCAGAGAAAAAAUAGAUAAAGAGAGUGACACUCAAAGAAAUCCAAUAUCAUACCAGUUCAUACGACCAUAACCAGGGAGCAAUCACUAUACCUAUAUCUAAACAAAAGCAAUCUGAAGAUAGAGUCAUACGUCACAUGCGUUAUAAACCAGAAGGGUAGGGACGUACACAUCAUACAGCAACAAAAAGCAUAUACUCAGGUAAGCAUUCAAACCGUAAUAAUGCUGUGUUAUGAACAUACCAUAUUUUAUACGAUUAUACAUAUUGGGUUGGUUUCAGCAAAACGUAUAUUUACUUAAGUAAGAAAACGAAAUAGAGUGAAGUAUAUGAUGUAUUGUUAUAACCUUAAAGCAGGAUAAUAUGACUUGUGUCCAGGUUAAAUUUUAACCAAAUCUAUUCCUCACACAUACAAAACAUUCCACAGAGAUUACACACACCCAUGCCGAUUGGGAGCAUAUGAUAAACACAAAGCAAUCCUUUCGACUUGUUCUCAAUAAAUUAAUAUACUACCUUAUUAUCAUAUGCAUGUCACCCAUUAAUUUAAGCAUUGAAAGAUACAUAAAAGCAAACAGAAAGGGGAUAUUAUAUCUUACUGGUUCUCCUUGCCUCAACCAUACGACCUAUGGCUCCAAUGGCCUCCUUCUUCACCGAUAUCGUAACCCUCGCGUUUGGGGAUCUUAGGAAUCCUUUGAGCACCGCAAUCUCGCCCAGAAACCCUGCAUGCAGGAGAUACAUAAGGGUGAGUCGACACCCCCGAUCAAGCUGCGAUCUAACAUCACCAAAGCCAAUCGAAUCAGAGAUGAAAAAAGCAAAUAAGGGGACGAGUUUUACCUUCAUUGUCGAAAGGGAGUAGAGAGGAUGAGAGGACCCGAUCGUGAAUAACCUCCUCCUCUAAGGAUAGUCGCGAUCCGAAUCGUAAAUCAUCGCCAACGAAUAAGGGAAGAAAGGAGAGGAGAUACCAGCAGAGGUAGAAGCCGGGGCUGAACCACAGGCAGCGCGAGGACCUCCACCACGAGGCUGAAACGAGGUCAUUGGAGGAAGAACUGAGAGUUAGGGAUUCAGAUUCCCUUCUCCUUUUGCAGCUGAAGAUGGGUGCGAAUAAGGGGAAUCCCUUCUUUUUUUAGGGAUUUCAUUCCCUGGUUCCUCUCAAUUACGUGAAAAUGGGAGGGGAUAACCCAUUUUCUCC
RNAcentral lists this long non-coding RNA (1818 nucleotides) under Lupinus angustifolius (narrow-leaved blue lupine). RNAcentral describes it as "long non-coding RNA (LANG_LNC000147)". The record is from RNAcentral. Lineage: Eukaryota; Viridiplantae; Streptophyta; Magnoliopsida; Fabales; Fabaceae.